This 72-nucleotide transfer RNA is filed under the name Adiantum reniforme var. sinense. RNAcentral describes it as "tRNA-Cys". It matches the Rfam family "tRNA". Rfam says of the family: Transfer RNA (tRNA) molecules are approximately 80 nucleotides in length. Their secondary structure includes four short double-helical elements and three loops (D, anti-codon, and T loops). Further hydrogen bonds mediate the characteristic L-shaped molecular structure. tRNAs have two regions of fundamental functional importance: the anti-codon, which is responsible for specific mRNA codon recognition, and the 3' end, to which the tRNAs corresponding amino acid is attached (by aminoacyl-tRNA synthetases). tRNAs cope with the degeneracy of the genetic code in two manners: having more than one tRNA (with a specific anti-codon) for a particular amino acid; and 'wobble' base-pairing, i.e. permitting non-standard base-pairing at the 3rd anti-codon position. The record is from RNAcentral. RNAcentral also lists the same sequence under 1 other name. Lineage: Eukaryota; Viridiplantae; Streptophyta; Polypodiopsida; Polypodiales; Pteridaceae.
GGCGAUAUAGUCAAGUGGUAAGACGGAAGACUGCAAAUCUUCAAUUCCCCAGUUCGAAUCUGGGUGUCGCCU